AGCGAACGCUGGCGGCAGGCUUAACACAUGCAAGUCGAGCGGGCAUCUUCGGAUGUCAGCGGCAGACGGGUGAGUAACACGUGGGAACGUACCCUUCGGUUCGGAACAACUCUGGGAAACUGGAGCUAAUACCGGAUACGCCCUUAUGGGGAAAGGUUUACUGCCGAAGGAUCGGCCCGUGUGUGAUUAGCUAGUUGGUGGGUAACGGCCUACCAAGGCGACGAUCAGUAGCUGGUCUGAGAGGAUGAUCAGCCACACUGGGACUGAGGCACGGCCCAGACUCCUACGGGAGGCAGCAGUGGGGAAUAUUGGACAAUGGGCGCAAGCCUGAUCCAGCCAUGCCGCGUGAGUGAUGAAGGCCUUAGGGUUGUAAAGCUCUUUUGUCCGGGACGAUAAUGACGGUACCGGAAGAAUAAGCCCCGGCUAACUUCGUG
Molecule: ribosomal RNA, 434 nt
Filed under: uncultured bacterium
Lineage: Bacteria
Description: partial 16S ribosomal RNA
Rfam family: Bacterial small subunit ribosomal RNA
Source: RNAcentral